RNAcentral lists this ribosomal RNA (1347 nucleotides) under uncultured bacterium. RNAcentral's name for it is "partial 16S ribosomal RNA". It matches the Rfam family "Bacterial small subunit ribosomal RNA", at positions 28 to 1381 of the family's 1533-position model. The record is from RNAcentral.
GACGAACGCUGGCGGCGUGCUUAACACAUGCAAGUCGAACGGAAAGGCCCUGCUUUUGUGGGGUGCUCGAGUGGCGAACGGGUGAGUAACACGUGAGUAACCUGCCCUUGACUUUGGGAUAACUUCAGGAAACUGGGGCUAAUACCGGAUAGGAGCUCCUGCUGCAUGGUGGGGGUUGGAAAGUUUCGGCGGUUGGGGAUGGACUCGCGGCUUAUCAGCUUGUUGGUGGGGUAGUGGCUUACCAAGGCUUUGACGGGUAGCCGGCCUGAGAGGGUGACCGGCCACAUUGGGACUGAGAUACGGCCCAGACUCCUACGGGAGGCAGCAGUGGGGAAUAUUGCACAAUGGGCGGAAGCCUGAUGCAGCAACGCCGCGUGCGGGAUGACGGCCUUCGGGUUGUAAACCGCUUUCGCCUGUGACGAAGCGUGAGUGACGGUAAUGGGUAAAGAAGCACCGGCUAACUACGUGCCAGCAGCCGCGGUGAUACGUAGGGUGCGAGCGUUGUCCGGAUUUAUUGGGCGUAAAGGGCUCGUAGGUGGUUGAUCGCGUCGGAAGUGUAAUCUUGGGGCUUAACCCUGAGCGUGCUUUCGAUACGGGUUGACUUGAGGAAGGUAGGGGAGAAAUGGAAUUCCUGGUGGAGCGGGGGAAUGCGCAGAUAUCAGGAGGAACACCAGUGGCGAAGGCGGUUCUCUGGGCCUUUCCUGACGCUGAGGAGCGAAAGCGUGGGGAGCGAACAGGCUUAGAUACCCUGGUAGUCCACGCUGUAAACGGUGGGUACUAGGUGUGGGGUCCAUUCCACGGGUUCCGUGCCGCAGCUAACGCUUUAAGUACCCCGCCUGGGGAGUACGGCCGCAAGGCUAAAACUCAAAGGAAUUGACGGGGCCCCGCACAAGCGGCGGAGCAUGCGGAUUAAUUCGAUGCAACGCGUAGAACCUUACCUGGGUUUGACAUGGAUCGGGAGUGCUCAGAGAUGGGUGUGCCUCUUUUGGGGUCGGUUCACAGGUGGUGCAUGGCUGUCGUCAGCUCGUGUCGUGAGAUGUUGGGUUAAGUCCCGCAACGAGCGCAACCCUUGUUCACUGUUGCCAGCACGUUAUGGUGGGGACUCAGUGGAGACCGCCGGGGUCAACUCGGAGGAAGGUGGGGAUGACGUCAAGUCAUCAUGCCCCUUAUGUCCAGGGCUUCACGCAUGCUACAAUGGCUGGUAUAGAGAGUGGCGAGCCUGUAAGGGUGAGCGAAUCUCGGAAAGCCGGUCCCAGUUCGGAUUGGGGUCUGCAACUCGACCUCAUGAAGUCGGAGUCGCUAGUAAUCGCAGAUCAGCAACGCUGCGGUGAAUACGUUCCCGGGGCU